CAAUUCAAGUACAACAACAACAAUAACGAAACGCAAGCUGAAGCACUAAAAUUGAAGAAAAAUACGGAUAGCGAGUAAGAAAGUACUGUUGUGGAACAAGCAGUGCUGAACGCCUUGAACUGCUCUAUAGAUCUACAGAAACUGGAGCAAAAUAUUUACAGAAAUUAGAAGGGGAUGUAGAAUCUAAUUUCAGGACUUCCAUACAGAUCGUUGAGAUUUGUUUCCUUUAAAAAUACAAUAGGAUAAUGAAGAAUACGAUUUUCCAGCUAAAUUAGAGACAAAUGAAAACACCCCACACAAACUGAUGAUAUUCAGAGGCGGAGUGUGUUUGUUUGUGUACUUGAAAUUAACUUUGUUUUCGACAUAAAACAUUGUUUAUUGUUUAUGUUUUCAAGGUUUAUUGUUUAUGUUUUCAAGACUCUCACAAGUUAACAUGUACUAAAAAUUACUGUAAGGACUUUGUAAAACAGAAUUUAUGUUAAUGUAUUCUGAUCAUAAUUGUUAAAGUCUUUUAGAUAUUUUUUUCUUUAUAACUGUU
Long non-coding RNA from Ruditapes philippinarum (Manila clam), 538 nucleotides. RefSeq lists it as uncharacterized. The record is from RefSeq and is a predicted model, not a curated record. Lineage: Eukaryota; Metazoa; Mollusca; Bivalvia; Venerida; Veneridae. The transcript is spliced from 3 exons.